UCUGAAUUCCAUUUUGCCCUUGAAGCAAAUUCUCUCUCUAGUCUCUAUAUUCUUCUCCUCCACAGAGACAGAUCUCUUCUCGAGAGUGUCAAUGGCAAAGAACGACGCGUCCUUGGGAUUAGUGGGCGAGUUCUUGAAGCGGUGCCAGCAAUCCGGCGAGCCUUCGACGAGACGUCUCCAGAGAUCGGAGCCAAACGCGAACAUGAGGCUUUACCAUGACGUCCUUACCAACGGGUACUACACGACGCGGCUGUGGAUUGGGACACCGCCUCAGAUGUUCGCUCUGAUUAUGGAUACGGGAAGUGGAGAAUAAAGGUCACCUGAUUGGGACACCGCCACCUCAAAUUCGCAGCCGCUGCCAAUAUGGGCUUCAGCCUAUUUGAUGUGUACGCAAACAAGGCCUUAGACAUGAUUCGGGUUUGUGAUUGGUGGUUUUUGCUGGUAUUUUUCCUUCUUUGGCUGCUUUGAUGUUCAAUUGCAUUAAGAAAGACGACAUUGACUGGUCUCCUUCCGAAGAGGGUGAGUGGAGGUGAGUAAUUUGUCCCAGCUCAAGAUAUAUCAUCAAGAAUUCAGUUUAAAUUUGAUUCAGUAUCGAAAUAAUUGUUUUCUUGAGUUUGAUUUGUGAAUGCCACUGGUGUUGUUAAUGUUAGGACUCAGUACGCUCAGUAGAUGAUCUAACCUUAACUCAGGCCAUCAAUUAAUGAUAUGAACAUUUAGAUGAUUCUAUACUUCAGCAAUUCAAUAUCAGUGUAAACUGAACAUGAAUUUGAAUCUGGUUAUUGAUAAUGAUGAUGAUGAUGAUGAUGGUUUAACAUGAAUUCAAUUAAUGAUGAUUAAUUGUUGAUACUCAUUUGCUUUUAUUAUGUGUGGCAUGGGAUCGUUGUACAUUGGUUUUAAGUGUAAUCAGAAGCUUAGGCAAGUCUUGUAAAUUGGAACGUCUUGACAUUGUUGUUGUUUCUUGUUUGUGUAUUUGUUCAAGAUUAAGUUUGGUCUCACUAAUGUUGUGGCAUUUCUUCUUUUACACAAGUAUUCCCUUUCUUUAAUGUCUUCUCUUCAUUUUCUCUUGUUCUUUCGUACGAGGGAAAAGUUAAAGAUAAAUACCUUGGAGAGAAAGGAUCAUGGCACAGGAUUCAUACAUGUCAAGCUAUAUGUCGAAUUAGAGGUAGCAAGAAAGAAGGGUAAAUGUAUUGUUUUCUUGCUUUCCCGUUACGAGCUGAACUAUUGAACAAGAAGCUAAGUAGCAGUACAAAACAAAAUGAUUGAGAUAUGACUCCCAAGCCGAUGAGUAGAACACGUACAAGUCUGUGCAGCCAACGUUGUUUCCAUGUUUUAAAUGAUAAUUUCAAAACGGUUGAGAGCCUCUAGUCUUUCCAUUGCUCUCUGCAUGUCUGUCUGGGGCUCUGGUUAAUCUCCCAUUCUUUGUUUAUUUGUUUCAUAAAAGCAGAAACUUGUAUGUUGUAGUUACAGGGCACACUGGAUUUUAAGUUUGGAACUUCUUCAGGAGCUGUAUCUUAGCCUUGAGAACUUUCUAGUUAGAAACUUGUAUGUGAUAACAAUACUAUUGGGAUGGAGUGGGUUAUGGAAUGCUGUAUUGGGUUUGAUUUAUAAUACUCAUAGUGAGAUUACUGUAAAUCAUCAAUACAAUGAAUGAAGUUAUUAAUUUUAUUUUCA
Rosa chinensis is the source of this 1671-nucleotide long non-coding RNA. RefSeq lists it as uncharacterized. The record is from RefSeq and is a predicted model, not a curated record. NCBI's taxonomy places the organism in Eukaryota, Viridiplantae, Streptophyta, Magnoliopsida, Rosales, Rosaceae. The transcript has 2 exons.